Small RNA from Tatumella morbirosei, 136 nucleotides. It matches the Rfam family "Yersinia sRNA 155(RyfD)". The record is from Rfam. NCBI's taxonomy places the organism in Bacteria, Pseudomonadati, Pseudomonadota, Gammaproteobacteria, Enterobacterales, Erwiniaceae.
CUGGACGAUCCUGUACGUAUAAUUUUUCUUUGUUUUCCGGGUCAUUAAACUUGAAUAUUUGAGGGAUUGGCCUCAUUUAAUCUCCUGUAGCAUUUUGACCUUUAACAGGAGGAAUUAUGCGUCUGGAUCGUCUAAC